UACAGAGGGUGCUAGCGUUGUUCGGAAUUAUUGGGCGUAAAGCGCGUGUAGGCGGCCUAGUAAGUUGGGUGUGAAAGCCCUCGGCUUAACCGAGGAAGUGCGCCCAAAACUGCAAGGCUUGAGUACCGGAGAGGGUGGCGGAAUUCCCGGUGUAGAGGUGAAAUUCGUAGAUAUCGGGAGGAACACCAGUAGCGAAGGCGGCCACCUGGACGGAUACUGACGCUGAGACGCGAAAGCGUGGGUAGCAAACAGG
RNAcentral lists this ribosomal RNA (253 nucleotides) under uncultured bacterium. RNAcentral describes it as "partial 16S ribosomal RNA". It matches the Rfam family "Bacterial small subunit ribosomal RNA", at positions 524 to 776 of the family's 1533-position model. The record is from RNAcentral.